This 253-nucleotide ribosomal RNA is filed under the name uncultured bacterium. RNAcentral describes it as "partial 16S ribosomal RNA". It matches the Rfam family "Bacterial small subunit ribosomal RNA", at positions 524 to 776 of the family's 1533-position model. The record is from RNAcentral.
AACGUAGGACACGAGCGUUAUCCGGAGUUACUGGGCGUAAAGGGCGGGUAGGUGGUGCGAUAAGACUGGUGUGAAAGCCUUCGGCUUAACCGAGGGAGGACACUGGUGACUGUCGGACUUGAGGCAGAUAGAGGGGUGUAGAAUUCCGGGUGUAGUGGUGAAAUGCGUAGAGAUUUGGAGGAACACCAGUGGCGAAGGCGACUUUCUGGUCUGUAACUGACACUGAGGCGCGAAAGCGUGGGGAGCGAACAGG